RNAcentral lists this ribosomal RNA (368 nucleotides) under uncultured organism. RNAcentral describes it as "bacterial LSU rRNA". It matches the Rfam family "Bacterial large subunit ribosomal RNA", at positions 2099 to 2465 of the family's 2925-position model. The record is from RNAcentral.
CUUGACUGUAGCUUGGAAUUGGGUUCGGGCUUUUCUUGCGCAGCCUAGGUGGGAGGCUAUGAAGAUUUCCUUCCGGGGAAGUUGGAGCCAUCAGUGAGAGACCACUCUGGAGAGGCUAGAAUCCUAAUGGUGAUCCUUGAAUCAGGACACUUGACAGUUUCAGGUGGGCAGUUUUUCUGGGGCGGAAGCCUCAUAAAGGGUAACUGAGGCGCGCAAAGGUCCCCUCAGUCUGGACGGAAAUCAGACAACGAGUGUAAAGGCAAAAGGGGGCUUGACUGCAAGACCUACAAGUCGAGCAGGAGCGAAAGCUGGCCUUAGUGAUCCGGCGGUACCGUGUGGAAGGGCCGUCGCUCAACGAAUAAAAGUUA